RNAcentral lists this ribosomal RNA (504 nucleotides) under uncultured Glomus. Its description in RNAcentral is "SSU rRNA". It matches the Rfam family "Eukaryotic small subunit ribosomal RNA", at positions 569 to 1077 of the family's 1831-position model. The record is from RNAcentral. Lineage: Eukaryota; Fungi; Glomeromycota; Glomeromycetes; Glomerales; Glomeraceae.
AGCAGCCGCGGUAAUUCCAGCUCCAAUAGCGUAUAUUAAAGUUGUUGCAGUUAAAAAGCUCGUAGUUGAAUUUCGGGAUCAAUAUUUCGGUCAUGCCGUUGGUAUGCACUGUUAUCAUUGAUUUCUCACCUUCUAAAGAACCGUAAUGCCAUUAAUUUGGUGUUACAGGGAAUUAGGACUGUUACCUUGAAAAAUUAGAGUGUUUAAAGCAGGCUCACGCUUGAAUACAUUAGCAUGGAAUAAUGAAAUAGGACGUUUGACCCUAUUUUGUUGGUUUCUAGGAUCGACGUAAUGAUUAAUAGGGAUAGUUGGGGGCAUUAGUAUUCAAUUGUCAGAGGUGAAAUUCUUGGAUUUAUUGAAGACUAACUACUGCGAAAGCAUUUGCCAAGGAUGUUUUCAUUAAUCAAGAACGAAAGUUAGGGGAUCGAAGACGAUCAGAUACCGUCGUAGUCUUAACCAUAAACUAUGCCGACUAGGGAUCGGAUGAUGUUAAUUUUNUAAUGA